GGGCUAUAGCUCAGUUGGUA
This 20-nucleotide transfer RNA is filed under the name Orobanche crenata. RNAcentral's name for it is "tRNA-Val". Lineage: Eukaryota; Viridiplantae; Streptophyta; Magnoliopsida; Lamiales; Orobanchaceae. The record is from RNAcentral.